This 288-nucleotide ribosomal RNA is filed under the name Triticum aestivum (bread wheat). RNAcentral's name for it is "partial small subunit ribosomal RNA". Lineage: Eukaryota; Viridiplantae; Streptophyta; Magnoliopsida; Poales; Poaceae. The record is from RNAcentral.
GGAUGUAAUCGCCUAAUCAUCAACUCUGACAACCUGGAGGUGAUUGAGACCAUGCAGGACGGAGGACAGUCAGCGGGAGCGGCGGUGGCAAUCUUCGAUGACUGCUAUCACUAUGCUUGUGAUUUUAUCAUGACUAAAUUUGAACAUUGUAAUAGAGAGGCUAAUAAAGUAGCACAUGAACUUGCUAGAUUAGCUAGAGUUUUUUCGACUUCGGAUUGGUUUGAGGAGCCUAUUAGUGAAAUUGUAACGCUUAUCACAAACGAUGUAUUGGUCAUUGCUAAUGAAUAA